GACGAACGCUGGCGGCGUGCUUAACACAUGCAAGUCGAACGCGCCUGUCCUCUGGGUUUCUGGGGGGUGGGUGAGUGGCGAACGGGUGAGUAACACGUGAGUAACCUGCCCCCUUCUUCGGGAUACGGUCUGAAAGGGCUGCUAAUACCGGGUAUUCACUGGUCUCCGCAUGGGGUCUGGUGGAAAGGUUUUUUUCUGGUGGGGGAUGGGCUCGCGGCCUAUCAGCUUGUUGGUGGGGUGAUGGCCCACCAAGGCUUUGACGGGUAGCCGGCCUGAGAGGGUGACCGGUCACAUUGGGACUGAGAUACGGCCCAGACUCCUACGGGAGGCAGCAGUGGGGAAUAUUGCACAAUGGGCGCAAGCCUGAUGCAGCGACGCCGCGUGAGGGAUGGAGGCCUUCGGGUUGUGAACCUCUUUCGCCCGUGGUCAAGCCGCGACGUGGGUCGUGGUGAGGGUAGUGGGUAAAGAAGCGCCGGCUAACUACGUG
RNAcentral lists this ribosomal RNA (487 nucleotides) under uncultured bacterium. RNAcentral describes it as "partial 16S ribosomal RNA". It matches the Rfam family "Bacterial small subunit ribosomal RNA", at positions 28 to 507 of the family's 1533-position model. The record is from RNAcentral.